AUGUGCUUGCCCCAGACAGUGGCACUAUUGGAAGAUAGGGCCCUGUUGGAGUAGGUGUGUCACUGUGGAUGUGGGCUUUAAGACCCUCAUCCUAGGUGCCUUCCUGGAAGUCAGCAUUCUGCUAGCAGCCUCCAGAUGAAGAUGUAGACCUCUCAGCUCCUCCAGCACCAUUGCCUGCCUGGAUGCUGCCAUGUUCCCACCUUGAUGAUAAUGGACUGAAUCUCUGAACCUGUAAGCCAGCCCCAGUGAAAUGUCCUUAUCAGAGUUGCCUUGGUCAUGGUAUCUGUUCACAGCAGUAAAACCCUAACUAAGACAGUCUCCAAACACAGAUGGGGCAGGACAACCCCACCUGAUUUGCAGUAACACCAGUCACAGGGCUCUGCCCAAGCUGUGGACACUUUUGGGUUGAUUGCCCUACUCUACCUGCUCAAAAUAAGGUCAACACCCCGCAUUCCUUUUCCACAGGAAAAGCUGUCAGACUUGGGUCUGCCAGGCGAAGACCUACGUUGCCCUGUGUGACAGCUGAAGACCUGUCACUGCCCCCACAAAGCCAUCAAGACCACAGGAAUCUAGGACAACCAUCCAGGUAGUAGCCUUAAUCCGUGGUUUGAUCCGUUGUCUUCCCAGGUAAGCAUUCCCUUAUAUAAAUAUAACAGACUUUACUAAUUAUCCGCUGGUAAAUAUUUAGGCUGCUUCUAACUUGGAGCUCCUGUGACUAGCCUGCUAGCAUGAACGCUUAGAACUAUAUCUUUGUAUGGGAAGAUGUUUUACUUCAUUGCGCGAGUACCAGAGUUGCUAGUUCACAUGAUAAAUGAACUGCUUUAAAAAUAUUAGUUCUCUAUGUCUGGAAAGGGCAACAGAUGAGAAGAGCGUUUUCUUCAAAUAUGAGUUUGUUACAGUGGGUAGGGAAGAGGGGAGGGCAAGCCUGACUACAUGAAUCCAAAUGGAAAAGCACCAGGGUUGCUCAGAAGACUGGCUUAGCUGGGGACAGAGCGCAGGAAUUCUCUUUGUGUUUUCAACAAGAAUGUUCAGGUCAGGGGGGUUGGGGAUUUGGCUCAGUGGUAGAGCGCUUACCUAGGAAGCGCAAGGUCCUGGGUUCGGUCCCCAGCCCCAUAAAAAAAAAAAUGUUCAGGUCAAGGAGGAUAAGCAGAUUUAAGAUUGGCUGGCUGAUUUGAAUAAUUUCAGCCAAAUCUGAGUGUACAAGGGCUGCCUGUAGUUAUCUGAUAUCCAGCACUGAGGUAGUGGGCAGGGGACUAUGGUUCCUUGUGAUCGCUCAAUCACACAAUAAGGCUUCGUAGGUGCAUAGUCUUAAUAAUGAAGUAACGGCUGAUUCUACCAGAAUUGUAUUAGGGUUUUGGUUUCAGCCUGAAACUCACUCACUAUGUAGCUGAGGAUAACCUUGAAUUUCUGAUCCUUCUUGUCAGUAAUCAAGCAUUUCCACUGGCCUGCCCUCAGAGGGAUCUAUCUGUCUGUCUAUCUAUCUAUCUAUCUAUCUAUCUAUCUAUCUAUCAUCUAUCUAUCUAUCUAUCUAUCUAUCUAUCUAUCUAUCUAUCUCCAUAUCCAUAUCUAUAUCUAUAUGUAUCAUUCCCUGACUUGUUCAUUCUCCCUGUCAUGACCAAGGCAACUCUCAUAAAGAACAUGUAAUUGGUGCCUGGCUUACAGUUUCAGAACUUCAGUCCAUUAUCGUCUUGGCAGGAAGCACAGCAGCGUGCAAGCAGACGUGGUGCAGGAGGAGCUAAGUUCUACAUUUUGAUACAAAGGCAGCCAAAGGAGACUGGAAUUCCACACUGGAUGGAGCUCAAGCAUACGAGACCUCAAAGCCCACCCCCACAGUGACACACUUCCUCCAGCAAGACCACAUGCCCUCCAAUAAGGCCACACCUCCUCAUAGUGCCACUUCCCAUGGGCCAAGCAUUCAAACACACAUGUCUAUGGGGACCAUUCCUAUUCAAACCACCACACUCUCUCUACCUCAUACCCCAUCUCUUGGACAGCCUUUUGCUCUCAUCCUUUCUUACCCUAUGUCUGCUGUGUGGCAUGAUUUCUUAGUGCAUGGCUUUGCCAAAGGUACCCCCACCUUGUCUGCUUUUUAUAUCAGUUCUACCUCUGUCUCCAGGAGGUGCUGGGACUGCUGGUGUACACUACUAGGUCAAGUCUGUGUAGUGCUAAGGCUGGGAACCCAGAACUUUGUAAACGUUAGACAAGUGCUCCACCAAUGAGCCGCAUUCCUGCUUCUACCAUUACUGUUCUUGGAGAGGGAGAAGAGGGUUAGCAUCUGUUGAUAGGAUGUUGACGGUUUCAGACGGAUAAUUCACUAAAUAACAUGUAAGAGAAUUAGUGAUAAAAUGUGAAAUAUAUGCCAGGUAUUAAAAAAAAAUAACAAAUUUAAAACGAGGUCCAAAUAGUUGCUUUGGCAGAACAGGGGACAGACGUGUUUUCACUAAAUUUUUUCAGUCAUAUUUUGAGUGCCUAUUAUCUGCUAAGUAUAUGUCCCCAGCCCACAAGUGUAAGCAAAGGGUGUUGGGUGUACCUAGAAGAGAAUGGGGGACAAGAGACACAAAGAAGGACGCCAAGACAAGAGUCUGAUCAAGGCGACAAUUUUAUUUUUCCCCAAGGCUGAAUUUAUACCAUAACAUGGGUAACAGGGAGGGGGGAAGUAAGAGACAUUUACACAGGCCAAAGACACAAUAUUCGUGUGGUCAGGGAAUCGGCUGAUGUUGACAGGAUGUCAGAAAGGUCACAGGUUUGUCAUAUCUAUUGGUCAGCAGGAUGUUGGUUUUUCAGAAAGGUUACAGGUCAUCACAUUGGGUAUCUUGACGUCAGACGUCAUCAUAUGAUUAUUCAUCUUGACCACCACAUUUGUAUUAGUCUUCUGCAGCUGGCUGGGGAUUUUCCAUGAACCCAGUCAUACUUAAUUCUAACCAUAAUAAUAACAUCAACAAUGGAGGGCUUCAAGGCAUCACUCCCAACAUCUCCCCCUUCCUUAUAGUCAAAUGAAAAGGUGGCCAAAUGGCUGUGCUGUCCUGGAAUGAGCCCCCCGGGAACUGCAUCUGUCUUAGGUUGGAGUGAUAUAUGUCACAUGGCCAAAAGAAUCUUGUGGCCAGGGUCCGUCACCGGGAUAAGGCAGCAGCUAAUGGCGGCCCUCCUGUCUUAGGCCCUUUAUUCAUGAAUAUAUCACUCUUACCCGUCAUUGACUAUUCAGCUCAGCACGCAGGGGUAACAAUUCAUUGAUUUUUCAGCAAAGACAUCAGGACAACAGGCAGAAAAGAAUGUUGGCCUCUUUUGGCUCAAGGACAAAAGGCCCCACUAUCAGAGCUCUCUCUCCCAAAGAGAUGCAUGCAGGUAUGUAAGAUCCUCUCUUGUUUCCCUGCAGGGGUCUGCUCUGCCCAUCACUGCUUCUUCAAUUUCACCAUCAGCCAAUCUAGCCCUCUCUGCAGGUGUCUUUCCUUUGCCUGACAACCACGUGCAAGGACUCCCAGCUUGGCAAACUGACCAGCCGACUUUGGCUCCUUUCCCUGGAUUCUGAGCUCAUUCCUUGGCCCGGAGCUUCACUGGAUGCUCUCCACUGCUAAUGAGCCCUCUUUAGGCUUCCUUCCAGGACCUCCCGCAUGUGGCACUUGUUGGAUACCUUUGUGUAAUGCAGCUCGAGCACACGGGGCCAGCCCCGAUGCAGUAGAGACCUUUAGGGGUCAGAAGUACAAAUAACUUGAACACAGAGGGGGAAUAGUCAAAAAGGUGAUGCCAAUGGCUAAUGGCAGGGCCAUUAUUGACACGGGGAAGUACAUGGCGAUGUACACUCGUGAGGUUUAUAGAACUAACAGUAAAGCAUAGGGAAGAUUAAUCAUGAUGUAGAAAUAUUUCAGUAUACGGAGAAAGGCUUUGGAGUUAGCCCAUACCAGGCUGCUGUGCUGGCUCUCUGUCAUUGCAUGAAGGGCUUGAACAAGUGACUUGAUCUCAGGUUUAUGAGCCUCAGUUUUGUCAUCUGAAAAACAGGGUUAUAGGACUGGCUCAGCAGUUAAGAGCACUUGCUGCUCUUUGAGAAGGCCUGGGUUUAAUUCUCAGCACCCACAUGGUGGCUUAUAAACUAUUUGUCAUUCCAGUUCUAGGGGAGCCAAUGACGUCUCUUGGCCUUCCAUAGGCUCUAGACAUGCAUGUGUUGUACAGACAUGCAUGCGGACAAAGUACCUAUACAUAUAAAAUAAAUGUGUGUAUAUUAUG
This is a non-coding RNA of Rattus norvegicus (Norway rat), 4218 nucleotides long. The record is from RefSeq and is a predicted model, not a curated record. NCBI's taxonomy places the organism in Eukaryota, Metazoa, Chordata, Mammalia, Rodentia, Muridae.